This 482-nucleotide ribosomal RNA is filed under the name uncultured bacterium. Its description in RNAcentral is "partial 16S ribosomal RNA". It matches the Rfam family "Bacterial small subunit ribosomal RNA", at positions 30 to 507 of the family's 1533-position model. The record is from RNAcentral.
AUUGAACGCUGGCGGCAUGCUUUACACAUGCAAGUCGAACGGUAACAGGCCGCAAGGUGCUGACGAGUGGCGAACGGGUGAGUAAUGCAUCGGAACGUGCCCAGGCGUGGGGGAUAACUACUCGAAAGAGUAGCUAAUAUCGCAUACGAUCUAUGGAUGAAAGCGGGGGACCGUAAGGCCUCGCGCGAUUGGAGCGGCCGAUGUCAGAUUAGGUAGUUGGUGGGGUAAAGGCUCACCAAGCCAACGAUCUGUAGCUGGUCUGAGAGGACGACCAGCCACACUGGGACUGAGACACGGCCCAGACUCCUACGGGAGGCAGCAGUGGGGAAUUUUGGACAAUGGGCGCAAGCCUGAUCCAGCAAUGCCGCGUGCAGGAAGAAGGCCUUCGGGUUGUAAACUGCUUUUGUACGGAACGAAACGGCUCUGGUUAAUACCCGGGGCUAAUGACGGUACCGUAAGAAUAAGCACCGGCUAACUACGUG